This 734-nucleotide long non-coding RNA is filed under the name Cavia porcellus (domestic guinea pig). RNAcentral describes it as "lncRNA (ENSCPOG00000034406.1)". The record is from RNAcentral. Lineage: Eukaryota; Metazoa; Chordata; Mammalia; Rodentia; Caviidae.
UCGCCGUCCAGCCGCGCUUCCCUCACACCUGCUGGCAUGCGUGUGGGCGCCCGCGCAGGUUCUUAAAAUGAAGAAGUUUAAUUUCCGAAAAGUUUUGGAUGGCUUGACUGCCUCCUCACCGGGCAGUGGCAGCAGCAGUGGCAGUAACAGCGGUGGGACUGGUAGUGGUCCCUUGCAUCCAGGAGGGACAGCUGGAGUUCUGAGAGAGGAGAUUCAGGAAACCUUGACUUCAGAAUAUUUCCAGAUUUGUAAGUACGGUGAAUAAAGCCAGUUUGGAUGAUUGAGCUCAUAAUUUUUAACUAAUGUCCACACUCAUAGUGUUUAAUUAGGGUAAGUACCUAUUGAAGGAAUUGCUGAAUCAUUUCAUUAGUGUAUUUUUAUGUGUAUAAAUUACCACAAUAAUUUCUAGAAUGAUUGUACAGUUAUUCAAAUCAUCCACCAGAUCUGAUAGCUCUAACUCACUAGAAACACUUGGAAUUACUAGCCUCUUUAAUUGUGGCAAUUGUCGAUUAUACAUAGUGCUACUUCACUGUGGAUUUAAUUUGAAUCGUAUUAGUAACAGGCAAUAUUGAACUCUAAAAUUUUUACUCAUUCUUACAUCACUUUGGUCAAUAUAUCUUUUUAAGUGCUUUUCUCAUUUAGAAAAAAAAAUUGACUGUUUAGCUCCUUGUCACUUACUUUUAGGAUAUUUUUACCAUAUUCUGUCCUUUUAAUUUCCUUGGAUAUUUGAAUUU